UCGAGAAUUUUUCUCAAUGGGGGAAACCCUGAAGGAGCGACGCCGCGUGGAGGAUGAAGGCUUUCGGGUUGUAAACUCCUGUCAUUUGGGAACAAGGCUGUGCGAUUAACUGUCGCGUAGUUGAUAGUACCAGAAGAGGAAGAGACGGCUAACUCUGUGCCAGCAGCCGCGGUAAUACAGAGGUCUCGAGCGUUGUUCGGAUUCAUUGGGCGUAAAGGGUGCGUAGGUGGCGCUGUAAGUCGGGUGUGAAAUCCUGAGGCUUAACCUCGGAACUGCAUUCGAUACUGCGGUGCUUGAGGACUGGAGAGGAGACUGGAAUUCAUGGUGUAGCAGUGAAAUGCGUAGAGAUCAUGAGGAAGACCAGUGGCGAAGGCGGGUCUCUGGACAGUUCCUGACACUGAGGCACGAAGGCCAGGGGAGCAAACGGGAUUAGAUACCCCCGUAGUCC
This 448-nucleotide ribosomal RNA is filed under the name uncultured bacterium. RNAcentral's name for it is "bacterial SSU rRNA". It matches the Rfam family "Bacterial small subunit ribosomal RNA", at positions 355 to 796 of the family's 1533-position model. The record is from RNAcentral.